GGUUAUAGCACGAGGGUUCCACCUCUUCCCAUUCCGAACAGAGAAGUUAAGCCUCGUCACGCCGAUGGUACUGCGUAACAGUGGGAGAGUAGGUAGCCGCCGUUU
Molecule: ribosomal RNA, 105 nt
Filed under: Bacteroides sp. HF-5092
Lineage: Bacteria; Pseudomonadati; Bacteroidota; Bacteroidia; Bacteroidales; Bacteroidaceae
Source: RNAcentral